GUCUUUUUGUUAUUAUUUAAAGUCAAAUCUGCUCACUGAGGGGUUAAAGAGCCGCAGUAUACUGACUGUGCAAAGGUAGCAUAAUCAAUAGCUUUUUAAUUGAGAGCUUGUAUGAAAGAUUAGACGAAGUAUUUAUUUUCUUUACUUUAGUAAAUUGAAUUUUAAUUUUAAGUGAAAAUGCUUAAAUGAUAUUAAAAGACGAGAAGACCCUAUAGAUUUUUAUUAUUUAAACAAUUUUUAUAAGUUUAAUUGCAAAAAUAAUUUAAUUGGGGCGAUUUUGUAAUAUAAAAAACUUAAUUUUUUGUAACCAUUAAUUAUUGAAUUUUUUGAUCUAAAAUUUUUAAAAGAAAGACUAAAUUACCUUAGGGAUAACAGCGUAAUUUUAUUUAAGAGUUCGUAUCUAUAAUAAAGUUUGCGACCUCGAUGUUGAAUUAAGAUAAUGUAUUGGAGUAGAAAUUAAUAUAAUUAGUCUGUUCGACUAUUAAAUUCU
This 490-nucleotide ribosomal RNA is filed under the name Amphigerontia sp. KY299. RNAcentral describes it as "partial 16S ribosomal RNA". The stretch from base 368 to 490 matches the Rfam family "Bacterial large subunit ribosomal RNA", at positions 2473 to 2596 of the family's 2925-position model. Lineage: Eukaryota; Metazoa; Arthropoda; Insecta; Psocodea; Psocidae. The record is from RNAcentral.